UACGAAGGGGGCUAGCGUUGCUCGGAAUUACUGGGCGUAAAGCGCGCGUAGGCGGGUCGUUAAGUCGGGGGUGAAAUCCUGGAGCUCAACUCCAGAACUGCCUUCGAUACUGGCGAUCUUGAGUCCGGGAGAGGUGAGUGGAACUCCGAGUGUAGAGGUGAAAUUCGUAGAUAUUAGGAAGAACACCAGUGGCGAAGGCGGCUCACUGGAUCGGUACUGACGCUGAGGUGCGAAAGCGUGGGGAGCGAACAGG
RNAcentral lists this ribosomal RNA (253 nucleotides) under uncultured bacterium. Its description in RNAcentral is "partial 16S ribosomal RNA". It matches the Rfam family "Bacterial small subunit ribosomal RNA", at positions 524 to 776 of the family's 1533-position model. The record is from RNAcentral.